This 874-nucleotide ribosomal RNA is filed under the name human gut metagenome. RNAcentral's name for it is "bacterial SSU rRNA". It matches the Rfam family "Bacterial small subunit ribosomal RNA", at positions 8 to 904 of the family's 1533-position model. The record is from RNAcentral.
AGAGUUCGAUCCUGGCUCAGGAUGAACGCUGGCGGCGCGCCUAACACAUGCAAGUCGAACGGCACCCACCUUCGGGUGGAAGCGAGUGGCGAACGGCUGAGUAACACGUGGAGAACCUGCCCCCUCCCCCGGGAUAGCCGCCCGAAAGGACGGGUAAUACCGGAUACCCCGGGGUGCCGCAUGGCACCCCGGCUAAAGCCCCGACGGGAGGGGAUGGCUCCGCGGCCCAUCAGGUAGACGGCGGGGUGACGGCCCACCGUGCCGACAACGGGUAGCCGGGUUGAGAGACCGACCGGCCAGAUUGGGACUGAGACACGGCCCAGACUCCUACGGGAGGCAGCAGUGGGGAAUCUUGCGCAAUGGGGGGAACCCUGACGCAGCGACGCCGCGUGCGGGACGGAGGCCUUCGGGUCGUAAACCGCUUUCAGCAGGGAAGAGUCAAGACUGUACCUGCAGAAGAAGCCCCGGCUAACUACGUGCCAGCAGCCGCGGUAAUACGUAGGGGGCGAGCGUUAUCCGGAUUCAUUGGGCGUAAAGCGCGCGUAGGCGGCCCGGCAGGCCGGGGGUCGAAGCGGGGGGCUCAACCCCCCGAAGCCCCCGGAACCUCCGCGGCUUGGGUCCGGUAGGGGAGGGUGGAACACCCGGUGUAGCGGUGGAAUGCGCAGAUAUCGGGUGGAACACCGGUGGCGAAGGCGGCCCUCUGGGCCGAGACCGACGCUGAGGCGCGAAAGCUGGGGGAGCGAACAGGAUUAGAUACCCUGGUAGUCCCAGCCGUAAACGAUGGACGCUAGGUGUGGGGGGACGAUCCCCCCGUGCCGCAGCCAACGCAUUAAGCGUCCCGCCUGGGGAGUACGGCCGCAAGGCUAAAACUCAA